This 501-nucleotide ribosomal RNA is filed under the name uncultured bacterium. RNAcentral's name for it is "partial 16S ribosomal RNA". It matches the Rfam family "Bacterial small subunit ribosomal RNA", at positions 30 to 523 of the family's 1533-position model. The record is from RNAcentral.
AUUGAACGCUGGCGGCAGGCUUAACACAUGCAAGUCGAGCGGAGAUGAGGUGCUUGCACCUUAUCUUAGCGGCGGACGGGUGAGUAAUGCUUAGGAAUCUGCCUAUUAGUGGGGGACAACAUUCCGAAAGGAAUGCUAAUACCGCAUACGUCCUACGGGAGAAAGCAGGGGAUCUUCGGACCUCGCGCUAAUAGAUGAGCGUAAGUCGGAUUAGCUAGUUGGUGGGGUAAAGGCCUACCAAGGCGACGAUCUGUAGCGGGUCUGAGAGGAUGAUCCGCCACACUGGGACUGGGACACGGCCCAGACUCCUACGGGAGGCAGCAGUGGGGAAUAUUGGACAAUGGGGGGAACCCUGAUCCAGCCAUGCCGCGUGUGUGAAGAAGGCCUUAUGCUUGUAAAGCACUUUAAGCGAGGAGGAGGCUACUGAGACUAAUACUCUUGGAUAGUGGACGUUACUCGCAGAAUAAGCACCGGCUAACUCUGUGCCAGCAGCCGCGGUAA